CUUUUAUCAAUAAUAAAAUCCUUUACUAUCCACUUACCUCGGUGAAGUUCAUAAAACAACAUACGAAAGACCAAUAACAUUAUUAUCAUCACGUUAUCACAUAGACUUUAUAAUACAACAUUUAUCACGCGUUUGCAUUUCAAUCUUUAAACAGCAUAAUUCAUCUUUUACCAGCCUACUAGUAUCCAUGGGGAUCCAUAGAGGUCCCGCUACCCGUGAACCCUUAACACUUGUAAUCAGAUUCCAGGGCCGUCCUCAUACCCCGUCCGGUAUGGGCGCCAAAACACAUAAGGUCUCCAUACUCCAUCCGGUAUGAGAGACCACAGUCCCGGUAGGGUUCCCUACGGACCCAGUCCGUCCACCAUCUCCCAGGAUAUCUAGUCAGGCUGACCACAUUAUACAAUUAUCAAUUUACAUAACCUUUCAUUUCCCUUUUUCCUCAGUCAGCAUCAUCAAAUCACACACAAACAAGCAAACCAGUAAUUU
RNAcentral lists this long non-coding RNA (486 nucleotides) under Carica papaya (papaya). RNAcentral's name for it is "long non-coding RNA (CPAP_LNC000234)". Lineage: Eukaryota; Viridiplantae; Streptophyta; Magnoliopsida; Brassicales; Caricaceae. The record is from RNAcentral.